GAUGAAGAACGUAGCGAAAUGCGAUACUUGGUGUGAAUUGCAGAAUCCCGUGAACCAUCGAGUCUUUGAACGCAAGUUGCGCCCGAAGCCACUAGGCCGAGGGCACGCCUGCCUGGGCGUCACACGUCGUUGCCCCCCCCCAUCUACUCCUUCGGGAUUGCGGGGGGCGGAUGAUGGCCUCCCGUGCGCCUCGUCGCGCGGUUGGCAUAAAUGCCAAGUCCUCGGCGACACACGCCACGACAAUCGGUGGUUGCGAAACCUCGGUUGCCCGUCGUGUGCGGUCGUCGCGCAUCGAGGGCUCGAAAAAAUUGCCGGGCUCCGGCUCGGCUUUCAACGCGACCCCAGGUCAGGCGGGGUUACCCGCUGAAUUUAAGCAUAUCAAUAAGCGGAGGA
RNAcentral lists this unclassified non-coding RNA (393 nucleotides) under soil metagenome. Its description in RNAcentral is "partial contains 5.8S ribosomal RNA, internal transcribed spacer 2, and large subunit ribosomal RNA". The stretch from base 1 to 122 matches the Rfam family "5.8S ribosomal RNA", at positions 35 to 154 of the family's 154-position model. The record is from RNAcentral.